Molecule: ribosomal RNA, 500 nt
Filed under: uncultured bacterium
Lineage: Bacteria
Description: partial 16S ribosomal RNA
Rfam family: Bacterial small subunit ribosomal RNA
Source: RNAcentral
AUUGAACGCUGGCGGAAUGCUUUACACAUGCAAGUCGAACGGCAGCACGGACUUCGGUCUGGUGGCGAGUGGCGAACGGGUGAGUAAUGUAUCGGAACGUGCCCAGUCGUGGGGGAUAACGUAGUGAAAAUUACGCUAAUACCGCAUACGAUCUAUGGAUGAAAGCGGGGGAUCGCAAGACCUCGCGCGAUUGGAGCGGCCGAAAUCAGCUUAGGUAGUUGGUGGGGUAAAGGCCCACCAAGCCAACGAUCUGUAGCUGGUCUGAGAGGACGACCAGCCACACUGGAAUUGAGACCAGGUCCAGACUCCUACGGGAGGCAGCAGUGGGGAAUUUUGGACAAUGGGCGAAAGCCUGAUCCAGCCAUUCCGCGUGCAGGAUGAAGGCCCUCGGGUUGUAAACUGCUUUUGUACAGAACGAAAAGGUUUCUACUAAUACUAGGAGCUCAUGACGGUACUGUAAGAAUAAGCACCGGCUAACUACGUGCCAGCCGCCGCGGUAA